This 595-nucleotide long non-coding RNA is filed under the name Junco hyemalis (dark-eyed junco). RNAcentral describes it as "lncRNA (ENSJHYG00000005574.1)". Lineage: Eukaryota; Metazoa; Chordata; Aves; Passeriformes; Passerellidae. The record is from RNAcentral.
GACCCUUCUUAUUCUUUCAGAUGUGGACUAGUACAUUGGAUGUAGACAAAUACAUUAGUUAGCCUCUUGUUCCUUCUGUGCUGUGUCUGGUCUAUUAAUGAAUUGGAAAAUGUGUGCUGUGGAUUAAGCUUUCUGAGUUGGUGACAAACCUUAAAUCGAGUGCCAAAAUAAAGUGUGGGUCCCUCUGUCUAGAAGUUCAUGCAAGUGCCUGUGCCUGAGGAUACCAGGUCCACUUCUGAAGGUGUGCAACCAUGGCUCAGAAUUCUGAGGAAAAUGCUAAGUUGCAGGAGAAAAUAAAUAGCUGUCAGAAGGUCUGAAGAGGAGAUUCAUGUGAGAUGAGAAAGGUGAAAUUUCAGACAAGAGUGAGCACAGAAUACAGCUGAGUCAGUCACGGUGUGCAGAUACAACAAGCCUGCAGUGGAAAGCUGUGUACAGUGUCUCACCAGUCCCCCACAAAGAGACAGCUGCUGUUGCUGUUACAAUCACAUUUUGUUUUUGUCAUUGUUGGUGUUCUUCAUUUGAUUCUUAUUGAACAGAAAUGACAGUUUGAUUUCACUUGCUUUUAAAAUAAAAAGCUUGUCCAAUGUAUCCUGCA